GUUAGUGUUCUCCUACAUUUCUUUUCCUUGCAUCCUACUUGCUUAGGGAUCAAAGUGUUGUUCGUGCGGUGGUUUUGGUCAACAUUUGUGACAGCGCGUGUUCGCACUGUGACCGUUUAUUCCCUGCCAAUCCGCCCGUGGGCCGGAAGAAAACUGUGAGCUUCAGACAACGUAAAAGUCUUCUUGGCUUUCACAUUUCACUGGCGUUCUGCAGUUAUCCUCACACACUACCAAAACACGGAUCCAAGUCUACAGUUCCGGAUAAACAUCACUCCCAGCUUUUCUUAUCCAUUACGAACGGAGCUGGUCACUCUUUGGCCCGCAAAGCCACGAACCUCAGCCAACACUCCUUCAGGGCUCCGUGGCUAGAUUUCCUCAGAAGCUCCAAGAAAGGACUUUUGCAGUAACCAUUUUCUCCUUUUCCCCUGGCAAAUACCAUAUCUCAAACUGGAGGAUCUUCUACAAACUGACUCCAAGAAUCACAGAUGAGUGAGAAGCAUCAGCUAAAGCAUCAACAUGAGGUUGAGCCAUGUGACUCACUUUGACCAAGAGAAUGUGAACCUGUAUGAAGCGCAUCGUGACUGACUAGUAUUACCUCUGCAUUUGUGGUUGAAGAAGUCUGUUUGCUCCUAUAAUCUUCCAAAAGAACAGUUUGCUCCAGUUCAGGUCUAUCCCUGGGCUACUCCGUGAAUAAAAUUACUGGAGGAACUUAAGUGAGCCCAGCAGAGCUGAGCUGAGGCAGAGUAGAAGCUGAUACACAAACCUGUGCCUGAGAAAUAAUUUUUGUACUUAAAAUGCAGUGCAAUUUGAGCAUAACUUUCCCACCACAAAGUAAGGCUGAAUAGCUAGAUCCUUUCUAAAGGUGUAAUGUAAAGAAAAAAAUAGAAUAAAGUAAUGAGAACAAA
Chinchilla lanigera (long-tailed chinchilla) is the source of this 905-nucleotide long non-coding RNA. RefSeq lists it as uncharacterized. The record is from RefSeq and is a predicted model, not a curated record. Lineage: Eukaryota; Metazoa; Chordata; Mammalia; Rodentia; Chinchillidae. The transcript has 4 exons.